CCUACGGGUGGCAGCAGUGAGGAAUAUUGGUCAAUGGCCGGAAGGCUGAACCAGCCAAGCCGCGUGAAGGACGAAGGUGCCAAGCAUUGUAAACUUCUUUUGUCAAGGGACAAAAUCAGGCUCGAGAGCCUGACCGAGGGUACUUGAAGAAAAAGCAUCGGCUAACACCGUGCCAGCAGCCGCGGUAAUACGGGGGAUGCGAGCGUUAUCCGGUUUUAUUGGGUUUAAAGGGUGCGUAGGGGGACUGUUAAGUCAGAGGUAAAAGCCCGGGGCUAAACCCCGGCGAGCCGUUGAAACUGGGUGUCUUGAGUUGUCGAGAGGAAUGCGGAAUG
This 332-nucleotide ribosomal RNA is filed under the name uncultured bacterium. RNAcentral describes it as "partial 16S ribosomal RNA". It matches the Rfam family "Bacterial small subunit ribosomal RNA", at positions 338 to 668 of the family's 1533-position model. The record is from RNAcentral.